GGCCGCGGUAUUUUGACCGUGCUAAGGUAGCGUAAUCACUUGUCUUUUAAAUUAAGACCUGUAUGAAUGGUGGAACGAGGGUUAACCUGUCUCCUUUUUCAAGUCAGUGAAAUUGAUCUGCCCGUGCAGAAGCGGACAUAAAAAUACAAGACGAGAAGACCCUUUGGAGCUUUAAGAUAAAAAGAUCAAGUAUGUAAAAAUUACACUAAAUGAAAAUAAAACAUAAUAUUUACUGAUCUACAUCUUCGGUUGGGGCGACCGCGGGGAAAACAAAACCCCCGUGUGGAAAGGGGAUUAAACCUAUAAAACAAGAGGGACACCUCGAAGUCUCAGAAUAUCUGACCUAAUAGAUCCAGCUCAUCAAGCUGAUUAACGGACCAAGUUACCCUAGGGAUAACAGCGCAAUCCUCUCCAAGAGUCCAUAUCGACGAGGGGGUUUACGACCUCGAUGUUGGAUCAGGACAUCCUAUUGGUGCAGCCGCUAUUAAGGGUUCGUUUGUUCAACGAUUAAAGUCCUAC
Molecule: ribosomal RNA, 519 nt
Filed under: Aphyocharax nattereri
Lineage: Eukaryota; Metazoa; Chordata; Actinopteri; Characiformes; Characidae
Description: partial 16S ribosomal RNA
Rfam family: Bacterial large subunit ribosomal RNA
Source: RNAcentral